RNAcentral lists this ribosomal RNA (509 nucleotides) under uncultured bacterium. RNAcentral describes it as "bacterial SSU rRNA". It matches the Rfam family "Bacterial small subunit ribosomal RNA", at positions 8 to 518 of the family's 1533-position model. The record is from RNAcentral.
AGAGUUUGAUCAUGGCUCAGGAUGAACGCUGGCGGCGUGCUUAACACAUGCAAGUCGAACGGAGUUUUAAACGGAAGUUUUCGGAUGGAAGUUUAAGAACUUAGUGGCGGACGGGUGAGUAACGCGUGGGUAACCUGCCUCAUACAGGGGGAUAACAGUUAGAAAUGACUGCUAACACCGCAUAAUAUAGUGAAACCGCAUGAUUUUUGCUAUCAAAUAUUUUAUAGGUAUGAGAUGGGCCCGCGUCUGAUUAGCUAGUUGGUGGGGUAAAAGCCUACCAAGGCGACGAUCAGUAGCCGGCUUGAGAGAGUGACCGGCCACAUUGGGACUGAGACACGGCCCAAACUCCUACGGGAGGCAGCAGUGGGAAUAUUGGACAAUGGGGGAAACCCUGAUCCAGCGACGCCGCGUGAGUGAAGAAGUAUUUCGGUAUGUAAAGCUCUAUCAGCAGGGAAGAUAAUGACAGUACCUGACUAAGAAGCCCCGGCUAACUACGUGCCAGCCGCGGC